RNAcentral lists this unclassified non-coding RNA (274 nucleotides) under Bombus terrestris (buff-tailed bumblebee). RNAcentral's name for it is "misc RNA ENSBTSG00005033909.1". Lineage: Eukaryota; Metazoa; Arthropoda; Insecta; Hymenoptera; Apidae. The record is from RNAcentral.
AACGCUGGCGAGAUAAACUCGGAGCAGAUUCAACGUGGUAUCUUUACAUAAAGGCUUAAAUUUCCUGUCUGAUAUCCUGAUUUAUUGUGGAAAAUUGCAACGGCCGUGCCAUUAACCAAUGCGCUCGCGGAUAGACGCUGGGACUUUCUCCGCGAACUGCGUGAUGAUUGCUACGCCGGGCUUUUCCAGGCAACGACGAAAAAUCGGUGAGUUUUUACCAAGAUCUUCUUUUCAAUCGUUGAGAAAAAUUUGAAUUAUGGUGGGAAUUGGGUUA